This 459-nucleotide ribosomal RNA is filed under the name uncultured bacterium. Its description in RNAcentral is "partial 16S ribosomal RNA". It matches the Rfam family "Bacterial small subunit ribosomal RNA", at positions 338 to 795 of the family's 1533-position model. The record is from RNAcentral.
CCUACGGGUGGCAGCAGUGAGGAAUAUUGGUCAAUGGUCGGGAGACUGAACCAGCCAAGCCGCGUGAGGGAGGAAGGUACAGAGUAUCGUAAACCUCUUUUGUCAGGGCACAAAGGCUGGGACGCGUCCCCGGCUGAGGGUACCUGAAGAAAAAGCAUCGGCUAACUCCGUGCCAGCAGCCGCGGUAAUACGGAGGAUGCGAGCGUUAUCCGGAUUUAUUGGGGUUAAAGGGUGCGCAGGCGGUCUGUUAAGUCAGCGGUCAAAGCCCGGGGCUCAACCCCGCCCCGCCGUUGAAACUGGGAGUCUUGAGUGGGAGAGAGGUAUGCGGAAUGCGCGGUGUAGCGGUGAAAUGCAUAGAUAUCGCGCAGAACCCCGAUUGCGAAGGCAGCAUGCCGGCUCCACACUGACGCUGAGGCACGAAAGCGUGGGUAUCGAACAGGAUUAGAUACCCCAGUAGUC